UACGUAGGGUGCGAGCGUUAAUCGGAAUUACUGGGCGUAAAGCGUGCGCAGGCGGCUUUGCAAGACAGAUGUGAAAUCCCCGGGCUCAACCUGGGAACUGCAUUUGUGAUUGCAAGGCUAGAGUACGGCAGAGGGGGAUGGAAUUCCGCGUGUAGCAGUGAAAUGCGUAGAUAUGCGGAGGAACACCAAUGGCGAAGGCAAUCCCCUGGGCCUGUACUGACGCUCACGCACGAAAGCGUGGGGAGCAAACAGG
RNAcentral lists this ribosomal RNA (253 nucleotides) under uncultured bacterium. RNAcentral describes it as "partial 16S ribosomal RNA". It matches the Rfam family "Bacterial small subunit ribosomal RNA", at positions 524 to 776 of the family's 1533-position model. The record is from RNAcentral.